ACACCAUGAGAGUUGGAAAUACCCGAAGCCUGUGAGCUAACUUAAAGAGGCAGCAGUCGAAGGUAGAGCCAAUGAUUGGGGUGAAGUCGUAACAAGGUAUC
RNAcentral lists this ribosomal RNA (101 nucleotides) under uncultured bacterium. RNAcentral's name for it is "partial 16S ribosomal RNA". It matches the Rfam family "Bacterial small subunit ribosomal RNA", at positions 1399 to 1500 of the family's 1533-position model. The record is from RNAcentral.